This 328-nucleotide long non-coding RNA is filed under the name Jatropha curcas. Its description in RNAcentral is "long non-coding RNA (JCUR_LNC001517)". The record is from RNAcentral. Lineage: Eukaryota; Viridiplantae; Streptophyta; Magnoliopsida; Malpighiales; Euphorbiaceae.
UCAAAAUGGGCACUCAAUUUAGUAAUGCAUGUGGCCCGACACAACAGAGUCAGUUUGGGUGUUUGAGCCAUAAGUUGAGCUAUGUAUCUCCAAUUUGGACACAAGAGGAUGGGUUGGAAAGAUAAGAAGUAAAUCUAUAACUUUUAGGAAGAACAUAAAGCGUUAUUUUGCCAUUUGAGCGGUCAAAAUGGACAAUAAUUUCGGAUAUACAGGGAAGACACCAUAACAGAACCAGUUUUGGUAUUUCACUCAUAAGUUGAGCUACAAGUAUUGAAAUUGGACAUAAGAAUAUGUUUUGGAAAGCUGAGAAAUAGAGCUACAACUUUCA